Molecule: long non-coding RNA, 14186 nt
Filed under: Gossypium barbadense (sea-island cotton)
Lineage: Eukaryota; Viridiplantae; Streptophyta; Magnoliopsida; Malvales; Malvaceae
Description: long non-coding RNA (GBAR_LNC020333)
Source: RNAcentral
UUCUCAAUCACACCAUUGUCCUUUUCGUUUGGUGUGGCCAACACUACAAACGCUCCUGUGCUCGACAGUGAUGGCAACGAGCUCCGCACAGGCACCCCAUACUUCGUUGUGUCGUCGAUAUGGGGUGCUGGUGGUGGGGGGCUUGCCCUAGGCAUGCCUAGAGGAAAGCCAUGCCCGGAAGUCGUUGCUCAAAGAGGAUCCGGUGACGAUGGUAUUCCGGUGAUAUUUUCUAAUUCGGACUCCAACGAUGGCGUUGUUCGCCUAUCCUCUGACAUAAACAUAGAGUUCAUUCCCCUCAGACCCAGAUUUUGCCAAACAACAACGGUGUGGAAGGUCGAUGAUUACGACCACUCAGCCGGAAAAUGGUGGGUGAUAACCGAUGGGGUUAAAGGGAACCCAGGUGCCAACACUUUGACCAGUUGGUUUAGAAUAGAGAAGGCGGGUGAUCUUGAUUACCCAUUUAAGUACUGCCCCGCUGUAUGUGGAACAUGCCCAGCCUUAUGCAACAAAAUUACGAGAGACUCAGAUGGAGAAAUGAUACGUUUGGCUCUCUCCGCUGGCCAUGGAUGGCCAUUUUUCUUUAAGAAAUUUCAAACAUCAGCCAUGGAGAUUGAACAAGUUGUUCAUAAUUAGAUUGAAAGCAAUCAUUAUGCAUGAACUAGUAGUUACUAUACAAUAUUAGCUUCAAGUAAAUAAUGCUGGGAGAACUGAUUGUUAAGAUUGCCUUGUUUGAAGCAGCAGCAUGUAUAUAUAUAUGCUUGCUUACAAGGUUUGUCUCUCAGAGUCCUUCUCUUUGUACUCUUUUCAGCUUAAUAUAUAAACUGUCUACUUAUUUACUUCUUUUAUUGCCAUUGAUUCUAGUAGUAUUAGACUCAUUAACUUGGAUACAUUGUCUUGUAAGAGAUAGCUUAUCUCUUAACAACUGUUUGGGUCAACAAAAUUAAUGUAUAUAUGAAAACGAAUAUUGAAUUUGGAUGUCCAAUCAAUUUUUUUAAUUAAUUAAUUAAAAAGAAUUGUUUUAAUUCAAAAAAUCUAAAAGAAUUUGAUAAAAAAUGUGGAAGGGCACACUUGUAUGAUGAAUAGUAGUGAUAAUAAUGAUAGAAGUCGUUUUCCUAGCACAAGUAUGGGAUUCGUCCAUUUGGUUUUAUAUUUAUCCACUUGCCUGAGUGUUUAAGAGUUAAAAAGGACAAAACUAUUAAGUAGAAAACACCAAACGAAUUGGAAGGCUUUUGUCUUCUUCAAUUAGUAUGACCUAUAUUUCUUAUUAAACUUCGUAUUUUACAUUCAAUAUCAUCAUCGCAAUCAUUUUAAUUUAUUUUCAUGAAUAAACUUUUAUGUCCCAUUUUAAUUGAAUCAUUAAAAAUUAUUAAUUGAAUUUUUUUUAAGUCAAGUGAUACUAAUUUGAUUUUUUUAAAAAAGUUGUUUGAAUUAAUUUGAUUUCGUGUCAUAAUUGACAUAAAUGGCCAUUGUGAAUGGCAACAUCAAUAGUUAUUGAGUACAGCGGCUAAAAUUUUCAGUUAAAAAAAAAAGAAUGAAAGGAAAACAAAAAGAAAAACGUGGAAAGAAAGAAAGAAAGAAAGAAUAAUAAUAAUAAUAAUAAUAAUAAAUAAAAUAGAAUUGUGGGGGCGAUGCUUUUGAACAAAUCUUGAUUUAAACUAUAUAAAGAAAAUAUGUGUUAUAUAUAUAAUUAAUUAUGUACUUAUACUUAAUAUAUUAUAUAUCUAAUGUCAUAUUUUCAUAUUCUCAGGAAGUGGUGACAUACAAAUACUUGAUUCGAUUUAUUUCUUUAGCUCCCCGUGAAUUGUAUGUUUGUAACAUUAGGGAUAGAAUUUCUUCAAUUAUCCAAUUGACUGGACGUAUUGUGUCGAUUUUUUUUUAGUAAUAUACCUAGAAAUACCCGUUGAUUCUUUAUAAACGCUGUUUCGAACACAACUGGUACACUCUAAAAUAAUUUACUUGAACAUCAUUACUCUUAGCCAUGAACCUCCUUUGAGUUUUUAAUUCACCCAACUUUUUUAUUUUCCGAUCAAAAGCAAAGAAGAAAGGAAUGAAAAGAAAAGAAAGAAAUCAAAGUUGCUAACUCAAAACCAAAUCCUGAAAAUUUUCAUUUCAAUGAAUAUAGUAAGUAAAUAUAGAUUUAUAGUAAUAGCAAAUAAUAAGAAUUAAGUAAUAUAACGAUUUUUAAUUCUAUUUAGAAUCAAUUAAAAUAUUCAAAUAAAUAUUCAAUUAAAAUAAAUUAAACUGUAUAAAUUUUAUAAUUUUAAAUUAUUAUUUUUGUAUUAAUUUAAAAACAAAAUAAAUAUUAUAUACAAUGAUUUAGUUACAGCGUGUCAGCUUGAAGUCUAAGACUUUAUAACAUAUAAAUUUAAUAGAUAAUUAAUAACUAAAAAAUUAAAUAGCAAAAGCAUAAUUGCGCCACUUCUCACCAUUUUAAUGUAUGCAACUUAUUAUAUAUUUAUAUAUAUUAUCAUUUUAUUUUAAAUAAUUUAAUUUUAUAAAUUUAGGGAUAAAUCUCAAAAUUAUACAUGAACUUUAAUUUAAUAUGCAAUUGUAUAUAUAAACUUUAAUUUGGUACAAUUAUACACGUGAUACUUUAAUUGUGGUUUAAAUACUCACUUGAAACUUUAGUUUUGAUUUAAUAAUGCAUAUUUAAAUAAAUAAAUACAUCAAUUUUUUUAUAUUGGGUAAAUAUAAUUAUUUAUGUAUGCAAUAUAUAACAUAAAAUGAUGUUAUAUCAAUAAUUGUGUUAAUAAUUUUCAAGAAUUGGAUCAAAUCAAAAUUUCAUGUAUAAAAUUGAACAAAAUCAAAGUUAAUGUAUACAAUUGCACAUUAAACCAUAAUUCAUGUAUAUUUUUUUGUAUAUAUCCCAUAAAUUUAUUUCAUUAACUUUUUACCUAUAUCAUAUAUAGAGUUGUUCGUGAACCGAGCCAAGGAAUGCCUGCUCGAAAAAAUGAGAGGGUUUGGCAAAAAAAUAUAUGCCUAAAAAAUGGGCUUGGAUAAAAAGACAAGGCCCGUUUAGAAAAUGAACCGGCAUUGAGUAGGGUUUUUUUGUCCGGGCUCAGCCUAACCCGAAUUUUCAAUUAAAAAAAACCUUGUUGUUUUUGCUGCUAUUUUUCCAUAUCUUGGUGUUGUUUUCUCACUUUUUGCCGCUAUUUUACUACCAUUUCACUAUUAUGUUACUACUAUUUUUUUUAAUGUUUGGAUAUAGUAUAAUAAUUGUUUUAUUGUUAAUUUUAUCACUAUUUUAGAGACAUUUGUUUGUUAUGUUGUACUUAUUUUAGUUUUUAUUUAAGUAUAAAAAAAUUUAAAAUUUAUUUUCAAUUUAUUGAUAAACAUGUAAUUUAAUAUUUUCAGUGUAUUUAUUGUAUUAUAUUUGUUAAAUUUAUAUAAAAUUAAAAUUAAAAAAAUAUGGACCGAGAUGGGAGUUUAACAAAAAUUUAGGCCCAUUUUUCAAGUCGGGCCGAUCUCAAACCUAACAAUCGGACUUAAAAUUUUGUUAGAGCUCGGCCCAUCCCAUGAACAACUCUAAUUAUAUAUAUAUGUCAUUCUCUAAUAAUAAUAAUAAUAAUAAUAAUAAUAAGUGGAUAACAUAAAACUAGUAGUAAAGAGUAAGAAGACAAAGAAGAAUUAAGUGGAUAACAUAAAACGUGCGAAAACAUUUAUCUUCAAUUCUGACACAUAAAGCUAGUAUUUUUGGGUAAAGUAUAGAAAUGGUGAUUAAAUUAUUGUUGAUGUUCUAUUUUAAUUUUUAAUUUUUCUAUUUUAGUUAUUAAAUUAUUUGAAAUUAAAUUUUUUGGUUAUCAAAGGUUAACAGUAGUUUGAAAUUUAACAGAAAUAUUGAUGUGAACUUUUCUUAUUGAUUUAAUAAUAAAUUUAGCCUUCUAAUAUUUAUAUAUUCUAUUAAUUUGAUACUAAAUAUAAAAAUUUAACAAAUUUAACCUUCAAUAUUUACAAAUUUUGUUAUUUUAAUUCAAAUUCUAAAAAAAAUUUAAUAAAUUUAACCCUCAACAUUAAAAAAUUUGAUAAAUUUCAAUUUUUAAAAUUUUGUAAAUUCCUAAAAUAUAAAGCAUCAUUCUCCACCUCAUAGGAUUCCAUGUAAAUGGAUUUUCUUGAAUUCUUUACCAAGUUGUCUUGAGUUUAAUUUCUUCUUAUUUAGUUUGUGGAAUAAAUGGCAUAUAGUUAGAUGUCACUGCAGCUGACAAUGAAAGGUUUGACAAAGUUGAUAAAUUCAGAGCUUUUGAUGCUGAGCUUCAAAUCAGUCUUGCCUCCACUCACCCAAGAAAUCAACUUUACAAUUUUUAUUAAGUCUUAACUAGAUUAAUAUGAGUAUUGUUAUCAAUAUAGGAGAAAGUGAAUUUUAGUGCGUUGAAACACAUUAUCUUCUUAUUGAUGAAUUGAGGAGGGGCUAUGAAUAGUUUUAAAUAUUAUAUUAAAAAAGCAGAGAUAAUUGAAACCUACAAUAAUAUUGUUCAAAAAAAUUACCUAAAAACACGAAAUCUUACUCCCUGAAUUUUCUAGAAACACAAAUAUUUCUCCCUGCCUUUGAUGGUGUAUACAUGCAUGGCCAUGUGUGAGCUCCUGCAUUUUAACUAAUCAACACAGAUAAUACCCUCAAUGAGACAUUAAAAUUAACUUUUAUUUUUGUUUUUUCAUAAAUUUUAUAAUUUUGUAUUUCAAUGAAAAAAUCUAAAUCUAAGUUGAUCCGAGUCCAAAAAAAAAUCUGAAGCUGUAAAAAGUUUGAUCUGAGGCUGCUCAUUUGCCACCUCUAAUAACCAUUUGAUAGAGGUUUAAUAUAAAGGAAUUUAGAUUUUAGGAAUUUAUAAAAUUUUUAAAAUUAAUUUUUUAUUUGUAAAUACUAAGGGAUAAAUCUAUUGAAGUUUUUAAAAUUUGAACUGAAAUGUCAAAAUUUGUAAACAUUGAAGGCUAAAUUUGUUUAUUUUUUCUAUUUAAGACCAAUCUGAUAGAAUGUGUACACAUUAGAAGACUAAAUUUAUUAUUAGACCAAUAAAAAAAUGCCCAACUUAACGCUUUCUCAAAUUUCAAACCGAUGUUAAUAUUCAAUGACCAAAAUUUUUUAUUUCAAAUAGUUUAGUGACCAGAAUAGAAAAAAAAUUAAAAGUUUGAUGACCAAAAUAGAACGCGGAUAAUAAUUUAAUGAUAUUUUUAUACUUUAUCUGUUUUUUAUGAUUAUUUAUACAUAUCAAGUGGAGCUAAUUUAGGGAAAAGAAUCAAUGGUUAAGGUUGUUGUUGAUACUUAAUGAUCAGGGUCCAAAUUUUGCUAAUGUAAUUUUCCUUAUCAUAAUUUGUAUCUUAAUUUUGUUACCAAAAAAAUAUUAGUAAUAAAUAAUAUAUGCUCGAGAAAUGUACGUAUGAUUGAUUUAAACAAUACAUGUUGGAGUAAUUUACAUAUGGAUUUAAAAUAAAUUUUAAAAAUAAAAUAAAAUUUUAAAAAUCCAAAAGUAUUUUUUCUUUUAAAAAAAUUUAAAAAUAAUUUUUAAAUUAUUUACAUGAUUGAUUUAAAGGAUUUCUUUCUAUUAAUUAUUUUUAUAUUAAAUUUAUUUUCCUUUAUGUAUAACAUUUAAAGGGUUUGUAUAUAUGCUAACUCGCGAGUCAAUUAAAAUUUGUAUUAUAUUCAUUGAAUUUUUUUAAAAUAUAUAUUUUAUUAAUUUAUUUAUUUAUUUGAGACCCAUGAUAAACUUGUAUUUAAAGUUAUUGGUGCACACUAUAAAUUCAUAUAUUGAAAAUGAUAGGUGCUAAAAGUAACAUGUUUUAGUCUCAUUCUUAAUGUGUUUUUGGAUGAUUAUUCGAUAUAAAAUGGUUAAUUUUAUGCUACUAAACUUUUCAAUUUACGUUCUACACUUAAUAGAGCAUUUAGGAGCAAAAGAAGCGAAAAACGAGCGAAAAUAAAAAAAAUAGGAGCAAGUCUCAAAAGCCACACAGGCUGAGCCAUUCCACACGGGUUGGACACAUAACCGAGUGAGCCACACGACCAUGUGCUAGACUGUGUGGAAAUCGCAAAUUACACUCCAAACGGCGUGAAAACACGUUAAUUUUAAGGUUUUUUAAGCAUUUUAAUACCUAUACAUGACAAAGAUAAGAAGAGGGGAGAGAGUCGUCAGAAAAUAUUAAAGAAAACAACUUAAAAAACACCAUUGAAGCUAACUUUGAAGCAAAUUUUCAUCAAGAUUGAAGAUCUCAUUUUGAUUUUUUUGAAGUUUAUUAUGAGUUUCUUUAUUUAUUGUAGUUAUACUGUCUUUAGGAUGUUUUUAUUUGCUAUCAUGAACGAAUUUUCUAAAUACCUAGGGAGAUGAAUCCUAUCAUGAAUUAUGUUAUUUGAUUUCUAUUUUUACGUAAUAAAGACUUAGAUCUUAUUCUCAAUUAUGUGUGCUUAAUUCUUGGUUUAAUAUUUCUAGACUAUUAAUCAAUGUUUGAUGUGCUUAAAUCAGAGGAGGAAUAAACCCUAUUUAAGAGUAGAUCUAGCGUAAAUGAGUGGAGUUGCAUGCAAUCCUAGAAAUAGGACAACAUAAAUCUACCGUAAUAGAUCCAAAUCUAAUAGGGGAAUCUAUAGAUCGAGUUAAUACGAUGAUAGAGGUUUUAAUUAGAAAUAAAUUUCAGUUAAUUAACCUAGAGUCAGUUACUCUUAGUCUUGAAGAGAUAUAUUAGCAUAAUUUAGGGAUUUUUACAGAUCAAUAUUCUAAGUGACGAAGUUGUGUAAUAUAGAUUGAUAAUGACAUAUGAAGUCUAGGUAGAUUCUUUCCUAGGUAUUGUCUCGCUCUUGGUUAUUAUUUGAUUAUUUUCUUGAUUUGUGCUUUGUUGUGUUAUUUAGUUAACUAAUUUAGUUAAUUUUAGUUCCAACCAAUCACUCCAAUUUAUCAGUUAAAUAAUAGAAAAGACGGUAAUUACUGGUACUUUUAGUCUUUGUGAAAACGAUAUCUUUGCUCACUAUAACUAUACUAUUAAUUGAUGUGCACUUGUCUGAGUUAGAUUUUUAGUUGGUUUACGACUGCAAUCAAAAAACUCAUUAAGUUAGCACAAACUAAGUUAAUUAUUCGUUGGUUGCUUUAUUUUUUUUCCUGAAGUUUCGAUUUCAUCUUUCAUUAUGUACAACAAUUUUGGUAUAAAAAUAUCAAAUUCUCGACACUUAAUAUAUACCUUUGAAAUAUAAACACAUGCAUCAAUUUUUUUAGGUUCCUCACAACUUACUUGUCCAAAAUUCUUGUAUCUUUCAGUUCUCCUGAUUGAAUCAAAAUUUGACUUUGUAAUUAUUUUUUAAGGACCUCAAACUAUCAAUUUAUAGUAUAAAUUUUCAAUAGCUUUCAUUCUUUACAAAUUGGUCCCUAAUUAAUCAACAAUGGUAUUAAAGCUUAAGCUUAGGGUCCCGUUGUUUCACUGAAAAUGGCUUUCGAAAAAUAAUUUCUAGAAAAUGACUUACUUUCCUAGAAAAGUUAAUAUUUUCUGAUGUUUGGAUGAAUCAGUGUAAAAUAUUUUAUAUUGUUUGACAAAUUUCUUAAAAAUAUUUCAUAAAAGCUGUUUUCAAUGAAACAAACAUGCAUUUGAGAUUUUCUUAUCUUUUCAUUGUUUAAUUAAGUUUAUCUUAUAUCUAUAAAUUUAUAUUUUACAUUUUUUUGCAUAUAAUAAAAAUAUAUAUUUUUUAAUUCAGGUUCACUACCAUGUCACUUUUUAGUUACAUGACUACCAAGUGAGUAUUUUUUUUAUUUAAAAAUGUGACAUCAACAAAAUUGACAAAAAAAAAAUUUAGCAAUGUCAACAAUUGGACUUGAUUUUCAAAUCUGAAAAGUAGAGGGACUAAAUUCUUGAAAAUAAAAGUAUAGAGACUAAAUUGAAAAUUUGUGAAGAAUACAUAGACUUAUCACAUUUUUUAACUUUUAUACUACAAAAUAUUUAUCAUUAAUAUAUUUAUAAUUAUAAUAAAUAUUUAUUAUUAAAAUAUUAAUAUUAAAUAUUUUCAAUAAGAAGAAUAUUAUUUAAAAUUAUUUUUUUUAAUUUUUUAUUAAAAUAAAAUUGAAAUAUUAAAUAAUUUAUUAAAAUAAUUAAUUUUAUUAAUAAUUAAUUUUAUGACUAAAUAUAAAUAAUUAAAUAUGUGUGUUUAAUAAUAUUGAAAUAUAUAAUAUUUUAUAUUAAUAUUUUAAAUAUUUUUAAAAAUAAAAAUAAAAUUUAUUUUCAAUAUAAUAAUAUUAAUAUUGAUUUAAAUGAAUUUUUAUAUAAAAAUAAAAUUACCUAUAGAUGAGCUCUUUUCCAGAAAAUGACUUACACUUUUCAAAAGGAUAAGUCAUUUUAUAGGAAAAAGAGUUCAAUUUUACAUUGACCUGUAAGUCAUUUUCCGAUGACCAAAAUGUUUUCUGUAAAAUAAACAUAAGAAAAUGAAGAAAAUAUUUUCCGUAAAACCUUUUACAUGUAAACAAACGGACCCUUAAUUCAAGCUUGUUCUAACAUAACCCACUUCACUAUUAGCAUGACUCUUCCUUAUACUAUGUUUAACCAUUAACCCUUCUCAUGAUUUCUAACAAAAAUUCUCUAAGUUCUCUUUAAUGGAAACUUCUAUUAGCUUCAACAAUAAGAAAUUCUAACCAUUGGGUUGGUUGUAUCAAGUUUCAUAGUUUAAAAAACUAUAAAAAAAUUAUUUAGAAAACAAUUUGUUUACCUUUGAUGGCCUUGAUGGAGAACAACUUGGUUUCUUCUUCUACUUAGUUUAAAGAAUGCAUGAAGAAGAAGAAGAUUUCCCCUCUCCCUCUAUCUUAAAUAUAUAUAUAAAUAACCUAUUAAUCAAGGUAAUUAACUCACUAAUUAAUCUUAAUUAGUUAUGAUCUAAUGGCCAUAAACUUACCAUAAGAAAAUUAGUGGAAAUGUGUGGCAUUGAUAAUGGUUUGCCAAUAAUCAAACUUCGGGCAUGGUAAUAUUGCAAUCAGGUCCUUGGUUUAAUUACACUUUAAGUACUUGCUAAAUUCUCUAAUCAAUUCCCACUAGUUGGAUCACUUGAACAAUUGGGUCCAUGUAUUAUAGUUACAACUUAUCUAAUUUAAUCAAUUAAUGAUUUGACUUUAUAAUUUCAUGUGCAACACACAAACUCCUCCGGUAAAUUCUCAAGCUAGCUUUAUUUAAAAAUUUGGCCUCAAAACCAGCUUUCCAAAUGUUCAUGAAAAUUGAGUUGUUACAUUAUGGUAUUUGUUUUGUUCAGCUUAUUUGUCAAGCUCUAUUCCUUUGAACUUAUGUUCGUUGACUUUGGUGUUGCUUAAAUGAAAAUGUGGUGAACAAUAUUAUGGAUAGGAGGAGUGUAUGAUUGAGUAUGUGUAACACCCCUAACCCACAUCCUUCGCCAAAUUAAAGUGACAGAGUGUUAUUAUUCAAAACAGAACAUUCCAUGACAACACAUAAACAAUUAUGCAAAUUAUCACAAUCAUUAAUUAACCAUAUUAAAAUAUAACAUAAGUAUCCAUACGACCUUUAAAUCGAGCUUAUAUGGCCUUAAAAAUAGCUUGGGAUCAAUCUAGGAUCAAUUUGGAACAUAACAUAAAUUUUAAGAAAAAUCUAAAAAUUUUGGGAAACAUGGGUCACACAACCGUAUGUCCAGGCCGUGUGACAUAGCCCAGACCUUGUGGGAAUUCAAAAUCAGGACACUCAAUCAUGUCCUAGCCCGUAUGUCUACCUGUGUGAAUAUUUGAAAUAGGGUCCCACAGUCGUGUCGCGGCCAUGUGCUAAACCGUGUAUAUAUUCAAAUUAUGAACACAUGGCCGUGUCGCAAGCCAUGUGCUAGACCGUGCUCAAAACUAUUUUGAGACACACAGCUGUGCCUUAGGCUGUGUGAAAUUUUCACUUUAGACAACGACACACAGCCGUGUGCCAGACCAUGUACACCAAAAUGUACCUUAAAAAUCAAAUUUACCAAAACAUGUUUACUUAGGCAUCAAGCAACCUAAUUACCAUCAAUCAAACUCAUUCAAAACACAAUUAAACAGGUUCAAAACAUCCAUCCUAAGUGCCUAGCCAUUGUGCCCUCAUUGACAUCAUAAUUCAAUAAUCAAAUCAAUCACAUUUAAACCAAGAUUUAAACAUUCAAAUUAUAAAAUCAUCAUUAACCAUUCAUACCAAAACACUGAUCAUUUCAAGUCAUAAACACCUAGCAAUAUUCACAUACUUUAUAAAGCUUAACUACCAAUACCAAAUAAGAUCCAUACACACAUACAUACCAAACAAAACACAUAUUCACAAGUAUCAUUCAAGAUUUACAACUUUACAUGUAAUUAACAUAAUUUCAAGUCAAUUAUUACAUGUCAUACAACCCAAAACAAACACUAAACAAACUACCAAUAGUUUCUCGAAUAGUGUGAUUCUUGAAAUCAAAUUGAUCACCCGAAGCGUCAAAAAUAAAUCUACAAGAAAGCAUUGGAAGAGACACAAGAGUAAGCUUACUUAAGCUUAGUAAUUUCCAUGGAUUUAAACAAUCAACUUACCGGAUAAACUUAUCUAAUAUAGAGUAUAGAAAAGUCAUAAAUCAUAAUCAUGUCAUCCAUAAUCAGAUCACGAGUGAGUCUUAAACUUAAAUAUGAAUGAAUUAAUUCAAUCAAUUACAUUAUAUCACUAAAUUAUACCCGAUGAACGUUGCAAUGGAUUUGGAUACACAGUUAACCAACCAAACACUCCAAAUCACUCAAAUGAGCUAGCCAUCUGAAAGUACACAUGGGCACCAAGUGCCAAGCCCAUAGGCUAACAUCCCUCCGAAACACACCUUGUCACCAAGUGCCAAGCCCGUAAGCUUUACAUCUGCCCCAGAAACACACCUGAAGCACUGCAAUAUAACGUAAUAGUUCGCAACAAAUGUUGAACUUCAAUAUAUUCAAUAAACAUGAAUAAGAUCAGAAUCAUCAUCUCCACAUCCACCAAUCUCGUAAAGCGCACGAUAUAACUUAUUGACAUGCCAAUUGUAUCCUAUCAUACAUUCAUCGGCUCACAUAUUUGUCAUUUAACAACAUUUAAUACAAUUUCUUUCCCAAAUCAUUUCACUUACCACAAUUCAAUACUUCCAUGUCAUUUAAUAAUUUCAAUCCACAAGUAAUUAAAUAUUUAAAUUAUACUAAAAUUAAACUGUACAAACUCACUAGGGCCAAAUUGCAGAAACAACAAAAGUUCAGGGACUAAUCAACAACCUUCCCUUUUUCCACAAUUAUCAACUUGAUCUUGAUCUAUAAUAUAAUUUAUUUCAAUUAUUAGCCUCAAUUUUCAUAUUCUAAUCAUUUCAAAACAUAUGAUCUCUUAUUUAUAAAUUUACACAUUUAUCCCAAAUUUUUACAUAUUAUACAAUUUAAUCCCUAUGACCAAAUCAAGCUUAGUUCUACAAUUAAAUUCUCAAUCCAUAGAACUAAAUUUUAACCACAUCCAAAACAAUCCAUAUAUGCUAAAAUUUUCAAGAGUAACAUGUCUAUUUCAGUUAAAUCACUAAACAUCAAAUUUUGUAAAAAUCACUUACAAACUCAAUACAUAUGGUCACCAAGCUUCAACCCAAACUAUUUACUACUACAAAUCUUCGAAAAUUUCAAUACAUAAUUUCUAUACUUUGAUAACUUCACAAAUAAACUCCAAAACUAGCUAAAUUCCAUUAUCAAUAGCUCAAAACUUAAAAUUUGAUGAUGAAUAAACCAAGAAAAUACUUACAUGCAUUAAAAACUAACAAAAACCAAGAUCCAAGCCUUAGAACAAUGGUGUUUCGGCCAAACCUAAGAAAAAUAAAGAAGAUGACCACUACCCCACUUUUGUUUUACUUUCCUUUUAUUAUUAUAAUAAUCUUUAUUUAUGAAAUUAUAACAUUAUAAAACACCAAUUUAAUUUUUUUUCUCUCUUUACCGCCCAUAUUAACUAACUAUGGGCUAAUGGCAACAUAACCUCCCUUAGUUUACUAAUUUAAGCUAUUAUAUUAAAAUAAAUCUAUAAUAAGCAACUUUUCCACCUAUUACAUAUUAAUCUUUUUUCUUUAAUCAAUUCACUAUACGUUAAAUUUUCUAAACCAAAACUUAAUACGACACUGAUGACUUUGUAAAUAUUAAAUAAUUAAUAAUUCUAGACUGACACGUCGAAAGUGUAGUCCUAAAACUAUUAUUUUCGACACCACUGGAAAUCGAACUGUUAUAGUAUGAUUCUACCUCUUAGGGGGAGACGUAUUCUAGUUUCCUUUGACUUGUUUAGAUGAUGUGUUAAUCAUUUGCUACUGGUUUUGUCAAAAUGCCAAAUGGUGAGAUUGUUUCAAACUUUGUUCAUGUUCGAACAUUAGAUUAAACAAUGCUUAAUUUGAUGCAUUCAAAGAAUUUAUGUUGGCAUGUUUGACUUUAUAAUGAAAUGGCUUAUGAUUUAAUCUCGUUGAGUAGCAAAUGGGGAAGUGAUUUUGUGUUAUAACAUGUGAUGAUCAUUAUCUUUCAAUCAACUACCUUGAAGAAGAAUGGGAGGAGUUUGAACUUUUGUGGACUUUCGUAAUAUUUGAAGCUGCUAAGAUACUUGUUUAUAAAGACUUUUAUGAUAUAACUAAUCAAAAUAAUUCAUGUCAGAAUUUUUGGAGUUUUAAACUUAUGAAGACUCUAGUAUUGGCCUAUAAAUAGGCAUAAUUACCGCACAUUGAAAAUAGGCUUUUGGAGGGUUUAAGUUGGAUGCUUUGGUGAAUUUUUCCUGUGUUUUAUACAACACUCUUUUUUAAGUUUUUAUUGGGGGAUAUUUGCUUGAUUGUAAGUGAGAUAUUUUGGAGAGAGUGAUUUGUAAUAAUUUAGGUUCAAUAUUGAAGUUGCAAAUAACUACAAGGUAAUGGUAAUUUGGACUCUAGUCAAUAGUUAAUCAAGACGAAUUGUAAAUAAAAAUUAUUUUUUAAGUGAAACUUUACAGAAUAAAACUAGUGAACUCAAACUACGCUAACAAAUAUUAUAUACUAUCUUUCCUUACUUUACUCGUUGCUUUACCUUAUUUUAAAAUUGCUUUGUCAUAAAUGUAUUAUGUUUGACCCUUUCCGAUCGAAAUAAAAAAAUGAGAUUGAAAUUGUGAUAAAGCUAAAAAAAAGUUACAACAAAUAUGAUUAAUAUUAUUUUUAUAUAUACUUACUAAAAUUUAAAAAGGAAUUACAUUUAUCGAAUAUUAUUUUAUUUAAUAAAUAUAAUUAAUAUAUUUUAUAUAAAAUUUAAACUUUUUAUUAUUUGUUAGCUAAAUUUUAUUAUUUUUAUUUUCUUUAUGAAUAAAAUUAAUUUUCCUAAAAUUUGAGAUAAAAAAAUGUUAUAUAGAAAAUUAAAUUAGUAAAAAGUGCAGUUCAUACUUUAUAAUUAUUAUAAAUGAAAAAAUAUUAUAAAAGAUAAAUAUUAAACAUAAAAAAAUCAAUUCUAAAAUAAACUUAACUAUUAUAAUAAAAUAUUUUUAUAUAAAAAAGAAAUUAUAGAAAAGACUUACUGAUUAUAUUUCCAAUUUUCGACAUUCAUAAAAAAAAAGUGGUCCUAAUAAUUUAUUUAUACAAAAAAAAAAGUGGUCCUAUUAAUUAACCUCACAUUUGAAAUGUGUUAUAUGUAAUAAUAUUAAUAUCUUUAUCAAUUUUGGAGGUUCAUCCUUUCCCAUCUCUAUAAAUUCGCAUGGAGAAAUAAAGCAAUACAUCAACACAAUCUGUAUAACCAUGAAAACCACAACAGCUUCAGUGUUUCUUCUUUUCAUCAUCUUCUCAGUCACACCAUCAUCCUUUUUGUUUGGUGUAGCCAACGCUACAAACGAACCUGUACUCGACUUUGAUGGCAACGAGGUUCAAACAGGCACCCCAUAUUACGUUGUGUCGUACAUAUGGGGUGCUGGUGGUGGGGGGCUUGACCUAGGCAGGCCUAGUGGAAACCCAUGCCCGGAAGUCGUUGCUCAAAGAGGAUCCGGUGACAAUGGUAUUCCGGUGAUAUUUUCUAAUUCGGACUCCAACGAUGGCGUUGUUCGCCUAUCCUCUGACAUAAACAUAGAGUUCAUUUCCCUCAGACCCAAACUUUGCCGAACAACAACAGUGUGGAAGGUCGAUGAUUACGACCAUUCAGCCGGAAAAUGGUGGGUGAUAACCGAUGGGGUUAAAGGGAACCCAGGUGCCAACACUUUGACCAGUUGGUUUAGAAUAGAGAAGGUGGGUACUGAUUUUCAAUAUUACACAUUUAAGUACUGCCCCGCAGUAUGUGGAACAU